AGCAGUAGCCGCGGUAAUACGAAGGGUGCAAGCGUUACUCGGAAUUACUGGGCGUAAAGCGUGCGUAGGUGGUGGUUUAAGUCCGUUGUGAAAGCCCUGGGCUCAACCUGGGAAUUGCAGUGGAUACUGGGUCACUAGAGUGUGGUAGAGGAUAGUGGAAUUCCCGGUGUAGCAGUGAAAUGCGUAGAGAUCGGAAGGAACAUCUGUGGCGAAGGCGACUAUCUGGGCCAACACUGACACUGAGGCACGAAAGCGUGGGGAGCAAACAGGAUUAGAUACCCCCGUAGUCCCUGUCUCUUAUAC
This 303-nucleotide ribosomal RNA is filed under the name uncultured bacterium. RNAcentral describes it as "partial 16S ribosomal RNA". It matches the Rfam family "Bacterial small subunit ribosomal RNA", at positions 507 to 807 of the family's 1533-position model. The record is from RNAcentral.